UACGUAGGGUGCGAGCGUUGUCCGGAAUUAUUGGGCGUAAAGAGCUCGUAGGCGGUUUGUUGCGUCUAUCGUGAAAACCUGCAGCUUAACUGUGGGCUUGCGGUGGAUACGGGCAGACUUGAGUUCGGUAGGGGAGACUGGAAUUCCUGGUGUAGCGGUGAAAUGCGCAGAUAUCAGGAGGAACACCGGUGGCGAAGGCGGGUCUCUGGGCCGGAACUGACGCUGAGGAGCGAAAGCGUGGGUAGCAAACAGG
This 253-nucleotide ribosomal RNA is filed under the name uncultured bacterium. Its description in RNAcentral is "partial 16S ribosomal RNA". It matches the Rfam family "Bacterial small subunit ribosomal RNA", at positions 524 to 776 of the family's 1533-position model. The record is from RNAcentral.